UGCCUGUACAAAUGUCGUCUCUAAAAUACAUUAUUUAGGGUUCACGUCUCUCAUACUUCACGUUCGUGCCACAUACAUGUACGUCCGUUACGUAGUAAGUACCCUCGAGAAUAGAACUAGCCGUUAGUCAAAUUCAAAAGUUUUUCAUUUUUUAAAUUUUAUUUCCCUUUCCACAUGUUGUAAAAUCGAGCAAAACCCUGUGCAAAGAAAAACUCUCUCUCUCUCUCCAUAACCCCAUACGAAUCCAGGUAAAGGUUGCUCAGAUUUUCAGGUUGUUCGUACAAGCUAGGGUUUGUUAAUUCCAACUAAAAUUUCUGACCUCUGGUAGUGUUUGGGCUUCAUUUUGAAGGAUCACAAGGCUUUUUUCUAUUGGAUUUCCACAAUACAGAGCCGGGCAAGUAUAUCCUGUUUUCCUUGGAUUCUUAAACUGCACAAAGCUUCUGGAAUCCUUUAAGGUAAAGACUGUUCCUGGAACACCGCAACAAAAUGGUCAUUGAGAGGAUGAAUAGGAUCAUCAUUGAAAGAGUAAGAAGCAUGCUUCAAGCAAUUUUGGCCUGAUGCUGCUAAUACAACUGUAUAUUUGAUUAAUAGAUCUCUUAAUACACCCUUGAAUGGUAAAAUACCUGAAAUUAUUUGGAGAGGCAAGAGUGUGACAUAUGAACACUUGAGAACAUUUGGGUGUGAGGCUUAUAUUCAAGUGCCAAGUGAAAGUUGAGCCAAGCUGGAUGCCAAGUCAAGAAAAUGUAUUUUUCUUGGGUAUGGUGGUGAUGAUAAAGGUUAUAGGCUUUGAGAUCUUAUUGAUAAGAAGACCAUCAGGAGCAGGGAUAUUCUCUUUAAUGAGAAUGUGAUGUUUAUUAAAAAAAGCAAGAAGAGCUAAAGUAAGAAAGACUUGUUGUGGACAUACAAGUCCAAAAUCCCAUUGCUUCACCUCAGCAAAGGCAAGAAACUCAAAUUCAAGCUCAAGAUGGUAUUGAUGGAGGGGGCGUUAGUUAUGAGGAUUGAUUGAAGAUGAAGAAGGCCUACCGGAUGCACAUGUGCAAGACUUGAGAAGAUCCCACAUUUCCUCACAAGCCCACACCAAGGUAAUCUCCUUCCUUAUUAUGCUUUGUAUACUGACAGUGGCGAACUUGAGUCUUUUCAAGAGGCUAUUUAUUUAUUGCCCUAAUGUUGAAAAAUGACAUAAGGCAAUGGAAGAGGAGAUUGAUUCUUUGCAUAAGAAUAACAUAUGGAAAUAAAGCAUUGAAGAAUUGGUGGGUAUAUACAAAUAAGUGGGGAAAAUGGUUUUAUGCGAUAUAAGGCCAGAUUUGUGCUGAAAGGCUACAGGGCAAAAAUCAGGCAUUGAUUUUAAUGAAAUUUUUGCUCCUACUGUUAAGCAUAGCUUUAUUAGAGGUGUUUUACCUUUGGUUGCUAACUUGAAUUUGGAGCUAAAACAACUUGAUAUAAAAAUUGCCUUCUUGCAUGGUGAUCUUUAAGAAGAUAUUUACAUGUGUCAACUUAAAGGUUUUGUCAUCCAAUCCUAACUUCGUUUGCCAAUUAAAAAAGGGAUUGUAUAGUUUGAAGCAAGCAUCUAGGCAAUAGUAUAAGAAAUUUGAGAGUUUUAUGCUAAGUGGAGGUUAUUCAGCAUAUGAUUUUUUUACUGUUUUGUUGCUUUAUGUUGAUGAUAUGCUUGUUGCUAGCAAUGAUCUGAAUGAAACCAAGCGUUUGAAGCUUGAUAUGUCCAAGCAUUUUCUCGCCAAAUAUCUUGGACCAGCCAAGGAGAUAUUGGGCAUGCACAUCCAUAGAGAUAGAAAGCAAACGAAGCUUUGGUUCAAUCAACCUAAAUAUAUUAAUAUGAUUAACUGUAAACCUGUUUCUACACCAUUAGUUGCACAUUUUAAGUUGUCUAAAAAUGACUCUCCAAUAAUGAGAUAGAUAAAACUAAGAUGAAGAACGAUGAAGAAUGUUUCAUAUACUUCUACAGCGGGUAGAUUAAUGUAUGCGAUGGUUUGUACUAGACUUGUUAUUGCUCAUGCAGUGGGAGGUUUUUCCAGAUUUAUGUCUAAUUCAGGUUGGGAACAUCAGUUAAGUGGAUCCUUCGGUAUUUGAAGGGGACACGAAAUGUAUAUUUGUGUUAUGGAAACUCAUCAUUAGAAGUUGUUGGUUAUGUAUAUGUAGAUCAUGCAAGGUGUCGUGGCACUAGAAGGUCUACCACUAGGUACAUUUUCAAGGUUGGUGGUGGUGCAGUCAGUAGGAUGUCAAGGUUGCAAGAUAUUGUUGCCUUGUCAUCAACUGAAGCUGAGUAUGUGGCAUUGACAGAGGCAGCAAAGGAAAUAAUUUAGUUGAGGAGGUUAUUUGACCAGUUUGGGGUAAAACACGAUAAAUAUAUUGUCCGUUGUGAUAACCAUAGUGCUAUUCAUCUGGCUAAAAAUGCAGUUUAUCACUCCAAGACAAAACACAUAGACGUCAUAUACCAUUUCAUUUGAUUGACCCUCAAACGCAAAGAUCUGUAGGUAAACAAGAUCCACAUUAAGAAGAACUUUGCUAAUAUGUUGACAAAAGUUGUCUCAACAGAGAAGAAUAAGAUGUGUAGAAAACUUUCGAGGUUUGAGGAGAAGUAGCCUCGAGAGGAUGGAGAAUAGUGCAUUGGUGGUUGUUUUAAAGGCUCGGUAAUUUGUCUUCAAGUGGGAGAUUAUUGUAUACAUAUGUGAAGCUAAAUCUGUAAAGUAGUCUAUAGUAAAUCCAUGUUAAUUUUAUGUGCACCCAUGUGGACUUUCUUAUCCUACCAAAAGUGUACAUGGGAAAGGCGGUGAUCAUGUGGACUUUCUUAUCCCACCGAAAAUGCACAUGGGAAGUUCUUUAAAGUUGGUGAACCAUGUAGACUCAUAGAGUUAUAUGGAAAGGCAAUUAAAGGUUUAUAAAUUGGGGAGCUCACAAUGGGUAUUGUGUGCCUCGUUUUUGGGUCUUGCUUUUUAGAGAGAGAAAGUAUCUAAGAAACACACAUUUGUAAUGUGUUUGGAGCCGAGUAUAUGGCACUGACAAAGGCAGCAAAAGGAAUGAUUUGGUUGAGGAGGUUAUUUGACCAGUUUGGGGCAAAACAAGAUAAAUAUAUUGUGCAUUGUGAUAAACAGAGUGCUAUUCAUCUGGCUAAGAAUGCAGUUUAUCACUCCAAGACAAAACACAUAGAGGUCAAAUACCAUUUCAUUUGAUUGGCCCUCAAACGUAAAGCUCUGCAGGUAGACAAGAUCCACAUUGAGAAGAACUUUGCUGAUAAGUUGACAAAAGUUUUCUCAACAGAUAAGAAUAAGAUAUGUAAAAAACUUUCGGGGUUGGAGGAGAAGUAGCCUCGAGAGGAUGGAAAAUGGUGCAUUGGUGGUUGUUUCAAAAGCUCGAUAAUUUGUCUUCAAGUGGGAGAUUGUUGUAUAUACAUAUGUGAAGCCAAAACUGUAGAAUAGUCUAAAGUAGAUCCAUGUUGAUUUAUGUGCACCCAUGAUAUGAUGGAUCAUGUGGACUUUCGUAUCCCACCAAAAAUGCACAUGGGAAAGGCAGUGAUCAUGUGGACUUUCUUAUCCCACCAAAAAUGCACAUGGGAAAUUCUUUAAAGUUAGUGAACCAUGUGGACUCAUAGUGAACUAUAUGGAAUAGCGAUUAAAGGUUUAUAAAUAGGGGAGCUCACUGGGUAUUGUGUGCCUCGUUUUGGGCCUUGCUUUCUAGAGAGAGAAAGUGUCUAAGAAACACACUUUUGUAGUGUGUUGGGAGCUGUUUUAGAGAUAGAAAAUAUUGUCGUAACUUGGUAUUUUUGGUCUCAUUUCCUCUUAUAAUCUCUAUUGAAUCAGUAAGUAAAGCCUCACAUUAUUCUCCCGUAGAUGUAGGUUACGAUUCAUUACUAAACCAUGUUAAAUCCUAGUGUUAUGAGAUGUAGAUGUUGUUGUAUUUUCAUCUUAUGUUUUUCUCUCUCCAGAGAUACCUCCUUGUGCCUCGCGCCAAGGCCUCAUGCCAAGGCCUAGAGAGAUGUCCCUACAUCUCGCAACACUUCGGGCCACACCUUAGGCCACUUCAGGAGCCUCACUCUCCCUGCAGUGUGUAUAGGGUUUCACACCAAGCCCGACACACAAUUAACUCCUUCACAUCGAUCAGACACUCUCUCUCUCCUCUCUCUUAAUUCCCAUCUCUCUCUCGUCUCCUUUCACAUCAAUCAUCUCGUAAUUCCCAUCUCUCUAUUGCCUCCUUUCACAUCAAUCAUCAUAUAAAUUAGCAAUAUAAAUAUAAACAGUAUGGAAUCAAAGCGACAUUGCAGACAGACCUGCAUAAUCAUUUAUUCUGAGAACUUGUUGAAAUACAGACAGUUAUCUUGGAUAACAUGUGUCCAUAAUUUGUAGAGUACGGUGUUUUAUUUUACAAUUGUGGAUAGGAGAGUCAGUAUUUUAGAUGUUAAUCUAUAAAUUGGAUAAUUAUAUAUGAUAUUGACCAACCAAGCUGUUGAAUUGUGGCAUGGUCUUGUGAUCCAUUACCAUUCAGUUUGAAAAUAACAUCAAGAUGCUACAUGCCACACCUAAAAUGUGGUAUUAUUCUCUUUUAAUAUUGUCAGAAUUUCAAAAAUCAGACCACAGCAGCUGGUUUUCCCAAUUGAACAAGAAAAGGUCGAUGAGCGGUCUAAGUCCCUCAGUAAAUAAGGACUUAGACGAAUUCCUCCAAAAAUCAUAUUUUUAUGAUUUUUAACAUAAUAGAAACAUUGGUUUGGAUUGAUUUUGAGAAUCAUAACGCCUUGUUAAACUUUUCAACGACAAAAAAUUAAAAAAUUUAAAUUUUACAUUAAAAAAAUUGACCGAGUCAGCCAAUCAAACUUUGAACCAGUGGGUGACCAGUUCGUCCAACCUAUCUCUGUUUUUAAGUACUGAAUGGUAUAAAUCUCCAAAGUCAUACAGUCAGUCUCUUGUAGUAUUAAACUUACUAUUCUUGUUGCUUGGAUAUAGAUCCUUUUAUUUUAAUGGGAUGAAGGUCAUUAUAUUGCAUAUAUAUGACUAUUUAUGCCGAUUAUAUUAAUGGCUUGACACGGAUGGUUAUUUACUUUUGAAUAGCAGCUGGCAGCUUCGAGAUACAAAUGUGGUGUUCUUUCAUUAAUUGAAAACUUUCCUAAAUAUUAAAUCUUUUUGUCUGUCUUUGUUUCACCUGAUAUGCAUUCUAACUUCCAUUUAUUUUGUACCAAGAUGGGGAAAAGACAUGAUGAAACUAAGGAAUGGUAAGAGAAGUGAUUGUAUAUUCUUUGAUCUGGAACCUUCAAAAGAACAUUGUUAUAACUUAUAACAUGUAUCAUGGAUUUUUCUUCUUUCCAAUAACCUGCAAUCAUGCAUUAGUUUGUCUUUUCAAAAGAACAUUGUUAUAACAUGUACUUAUACUAUACCUAUGUUGGCUUUCAUUUCAUAUGAUUGGAUUCUUUUCUUGAUGAGGGACUAACAACCACACACAUACACACACAUUAAAGGAAAAAGUCUUAGUGAAACAAGAAUGAACAGCAGCUAAAAUUGGGUAGACUUUAGCUGGCGUUCAGCGAAAAAAAGCGACAAAUUUCAGGCACAAAUGCAAACUUCAAGCAUCUGUGCUAACUUCCAUAAAGUACUUCCCUUUGCUGCAGAAUUUUUCGGAUGGAAACUGAACUUUUGUUGAAGCUUCAAACCAUAGAUAUAUAGCUUUGUAAUUGAUGAAAUAACAAAAACCAUCUACUCCACCGAGUCCGAGUGGAGUCCACCCGGACUUGGCCCUUGGAGGAGCCGAAUACCCUUGUACAACUCAGGUAUUACUAAAGAAAAGAAACUGCAGAAUACCCUAGUACAACUCAGGUAUUACUUGUAAGAAGAAGAAAAGAACUUGUAUGAAGUAUGU
Molecule: non-coding RNA, 5856 nt
Organism: Amborella trichopoda
Lineage: Eukaryota; Viridiplantae; Streptophyta; Magnoliopsida; Amborellales; Amborellaceae
Source: RefSeq, a predicted model, not a curated record